UGACCCUAUGGAUGCCUUAGCAGGUAGAGC
RNAcentral lists this non-coding RNA (30 nucleotides) under Rattus norvegicus (Norway rat). The record is from RNAcentral. Lineage: Eukaryota; Metazoa; Chordata; Mammalia; Rodentia; Muridae.